RNAcentral lists this ribosomal RNA (513 nucleotides) under Aspergillus candidus. RNAcentral's name for it is "eukaryotic LSU rRNA". The stretch from base 145 to 298 matches the Rfam family "5.8S ribosomal RNA". Lineage: Eukaryota; Fungi; Ascomycota; Eurotiomycetes; Eurotiales; Aspergillaceae. The record is from RNAcentral.
GUGUAUACCGUACCCUGUUGCUUCGGCGGGCCCGCCUCACGGCCGCCGGGGGACCUCGCGUCCCCGGGCCCGCGCCCGCCGAAGACCCCAACACGAACACUGUCUGAAAAGUGCAGUCUGAGUCGAUUGUUACCAAUCAGUCAAAACUUUCAACAAUGGAUCUCUUGGUUCCGGCAUCGAUGAAGAACGCAGCGAAAUGCGAUAACUAAUGUGAAUUGCAGAAUUCAGUGAAUCAUCGAGUCUUUGAACGCACAUUGCGCCCCCUGGUAUUCCGGGGGGCAUGCCUGUCCGAGCGUCAUUGCUGCCCUCAAGCACGGCUUGUGUGUUGGGCCCCGUCCCCGGUACCCCCGGGGACGGGCCCGAAAGGCAGCGGCGGCACCGCGUCCGGUCCUCGAGCGUAUGGGGCUUUGUCACCCGCUCUGCAGGCCCGGCCGGCGCCAGCCGACCAACCCAACCAUUUUUUACAGGUUGACCUCGGAUCAGGUAGGGAUACCCGCUGAACUUAAGCAUAUC